UGAAACACGGACCAAGGAGUCUAGAAUGCGCGCGAGUCAAAGGGCUGGCUAAACCCCAAGGCGAAACGAAAGUGAACACGGCUCGAUCCGUUUCGGGGCGAGUGGGCUUUGUUGUUCACUCUCCCCGAUUCAUCUCUUAGUCGAGAGCGGCGCAGGGCCGGGGCUCGCACGCGACCUCCCCGUCGUUAAUGCCUGGUCGUUCGUUAUGCUCUGGUCGUUCGCCAGAGCGGUUCGCCCCUAGGGCGUUUUCCCCGACACUCUCGUCGUUUCGGCGGCGAGGGCUAGUGGAGGCGUUCGAGGGGUCCGUGAGUGCGGCGGUCGGGGCGGCGACCGGCAGGCGUGGGACGAGCAGCGGGUUCUCCGAGCGCGCAUCCUAGUACCCGAAAGAUGGUGAUCUAUGCUUGGCCAGGAUGAAGCCAGAGGAAACUCUGGUGGAGGUCUCGUAGCGAUUCUGACGUGCAAAUCGAUCGUCG
This 473-nucleotide ribosomal RNA is filed under the name Ctenoscia minima. Its description in RNAcentral is "partial large subunit ribosomal RNA". It matches the Rfam family "Eukaryotic large subunit ribosomal RNA", at positions 655 to 907 of the family's 3401-position model. Lineage: Eukaryota; Metazoa; Arthropoda; Malacostraca; Isopoda; Philosciidae. The record is from RNAcentral.